RNAcentral lists this ribosomal RNA (312 nucleotides) under Triticum aestivum (bread wheat). RNAcentral describes it as "partial small subunit ribosomal RNA". The record is from RNAcentral. Lineage: Eukaryota; Viridiplantae; Streptophyta; Magnoliopsida; Poales; Poaceae.
AUGAAACUUCUUGUAAUAUGCAUAUUACAUCAUUUAAAUUCAGUGUCAAAACAUGGACAAAUUCAGUUGUCAAAACACCUCAAACAUGGCCAAAUUCAUAUCAGUCCAAAAUUUUCAUGUUUCACAGAAGUUUACAAUUUUUGUGGCCUCUUGAUACAAUUUUUUUAUCAAGAACUAUCAAUUUUACAUCCAUUUAACUCCAUUGGUGGUGGAACAGGAGGAGCAGUAGCAGCACAAGGAGCAACUCCUUAUAGUACAAUUUUGGAGUACUCUUGGUGUAAAUCAACUUCACUAAUUUUCAGGUUCAGAUGA